UGGGGAAUAUUGCACAAUGGGCGCAAGCCUGAUGCAGCCAUGCCGCGUGUGUGAAGAAGGCCUUCGGGUUGUAAAGCACUUUCAGCGAGGAGGAAGGUGGUGAGCUUAAUACGCUCAUCAAUUGACGUUACUCGCAGAAGAAGCACCGGCUAACUCCGUGCCAGCAGCCGCGGUAAUACGGAGGGUGCAAGCGUUAAUCGGAAUUACUGGGCGUAAAGCGCACGCAGGCGGUUUGUUAAGUCAGAUGUGAAAUCCCCGGGCUCAACCUGGGAACUGCAUUUGAAACUGGCAAGCUAGAGUCUCGUAGAGGGGGGUAGAAUUCCAGGUGUAGCGGUGAAAUGCGUAGAGAUCUGGAGGAAUACCGGUGGCGAAGGCGGCCCCCUGGACGAAGACUGACGCUCAGGUGCGAAAGCGUGGGGCAGCAAACAGGAUUAGAUACCCUGGUAGUCCACGCUGUAAACGAUGUCGAUUUUGGAGGUUGUGCCCUUGAGGCGUGGCUUCCGGAGCUAACGCGUUAAAUCGACCGCCUGGGGGAGUACGGCCGCAAGGUUAAAACUU
RNAcentral lists this ribosomal RNA (558 nucleotides) under uncultured bacterium. RNAcentral describes it as "partial 16S ribosomal RNA". It matches the Rfam family "Bacterial small subunit ribosomal RNA", at positions 355 to 902 of the family's 1533-position model. The record is from RNAcentral.